Echinops telfairi (small Madagascar hedgehog) is the source of this 340-nucleotide long non-coding RNA. RefSeq lists it as uncharacterized. The record is from RefSeq and is a predicted model, not a curated record. NCBI's taxonomy places the organism in Eukaryota, Metazoa, Chordata, Mammalia, Afrosoricida, Tenrecidae. The transcript has 2 exons.
AUAGGAUUUAUUAGAGAAUUAGCAAAGUACUAUUUAAGGCCAGAAACUCAGGAUGCAGUUUCUCAUAAGACCAGCUUCUUCUUGCUCUCUUCCAUUAGACCCUCCUGGAUGUCUUCUCCUUCUGGGUCCUGCUCUGGGUGUCCUGUGCAUGACUCUCAGGCAUUUCUAGAAGAUGAGAACUUACAAGCUGAAAAGAAUGGCCAUAUCUGUAAUAUCACUUGGAAGACUGGACCCCUGAUUGGGUUGUGAUGUGAAUGAGAAAUGCAUCUUUAUAGUUUUAGGAUGUUAAAACUUGGGGAUGGUUGUUACAACAGCUAAUAAAAUUAAUAUAUUUAUCGUC